UGGGGAAUUUUGGACAAUGGGCGCAAGCCUGAUCCAGCAAUGCCGCGUGAGUGAAGAAGGCCUUCGGGUUGUAAAGCUCUUUUGUCAGGGAAGAAACGGUAGAGGCUAAUAUCCUUUGCCAAUGACGGUACCUGAAGAAUAAGCACCGGCUAACUACGUUCCAGCAGCCGCGGUAAUACGUAGGGUGCGAGCGUUAAUCGGAAUUACUGGGCGUAAAGCGUGCGCAGGCGGUUUUGUAAGCCAGAUGUGAAAGCCCCGGGCUCAACCUGGGAAUGGCAUUUGGGACUGCAAGGCUUGAGUGCGGCAGAGGAGACUGGAAUUCCUGGUGUAGCAGUGAAAUGCGUAGAUAUCAGGAGGAAUACCGAUGGCGAAGGCAGGUCUCUGGGCUGACACUGACGCUCAUGCACGAAAGCGUGGGGAGCAAAC
Molecule: ribosomal RNA, 426 nt
Filed under: uncultured bacterium
Lineage: Bacteria
Description: bacterial SSU rRNA
Rfam family: Bacterial small subunit ribosomal RNA
Source: RNAcentral